GUGAACGCUGGCGGUAGGCCUAACACCUGCCAGUCGAACGGCAGCACCGUAAGAGCUUGCUCUUACGGGUGGCGAGUGGCGGACGGGUGAGGAAUACAUCGGAAUCUACUUUUUCGCGGGGGAUAACGUAGGGAAACUUACGCUAAUACCGCAUACGACCUACGGGUGAAAGCAGGGGAUCUUCGGACCUUGCGCGAUUGAAUGAGCCGAUGUCGGAUUAGCUAGUUGGCGGGGUAAAGGCCCACCAAGGCGACGAUCCGUAGCUGGUCUGAGAGGAUGAUCAGCCACACUGGAACUGAGACACGGUCCAGACUCCUACGGGAGGCAGCAGUGGGGAAUAUUGGACAAUGGGCGCAAGCCUGAUCCAGCCAUACCGCGUGGGUGAAGAAGGCCUUCGGGUUGUAAAGCCCUUUUGUUGGGAAAGAAAAGCAGCAGGUUAAUACCCCGCUGUUCUGACGGUACCCAAAGAAUAAGCACCGGCUAACUUCGUG
RNAcentral lists this ribosomal RNA (491 nucleotides) under uncultured bacterium. Its description in RNAcentral is "partial 16S ribosomal RNA". It matches the Rfam family "Bacterial small subunit ribosomal RNA", at positions 29 to 507 of the family's 1533-position model. The record is from RNAcentral.